This is a long non-coding RNA of Lolium perenne, 2088 nucleotides long. RefSeq lists it as uncharacterized. The record is from RefSeq and is a predicted model, not a curated record. NCBI's taxonomy places the organism in Eukaryota, Viridiplantae, Streptophyta, Magnoliopsida, Poales, Poaceae.
UGUACUCACGUACUGGAGACUCACCCGACCAAGCCCUCACGCAUAAACGCCUCUCAUCGUUCCCCAACUCACGCACGCACGCGACACCCAUCGCGUCCUCGCGAUGCUGCCGCCGCCUCCUUCCCUUCCGGCCGCCACCAGCCAAGUCCGUCGCCGGCGCACGCCAGCGCAGCUCCGCCUCGCUAUCCUCCAUAGAAUCCCCUCUAAAUCGACGCUCACUCGCACCCGCACACACAGGCUCCCCCAGAUGUCGUCGCUCCGCUGCGUUUGUUUUUUCCCGGCCGCCUCCGGCUCACUCCGGCACCGGCGAGUUGGGGAGCUUGUCCGCCUCGACUAGCUCGACAACUCCCUCCGGCUCGAUUUGAUCUUCGGAACCCCUCACGCUUGCCCUCGGCCCUGGAAACCCUCGCGGUGACCGGUCGAUUUGACCGCCGCCGGCCGCUCACAUCUUCGUCCUCUGUCGGCACGACCCCGCCACGAAGUCCUCCGUUACCUCAGCUCCCUCUUCUUCCGCUUGGCACCGCCCACUGCUAACCCUAGCAGUGGCUUCAGCUCGGUCGCCGGCGUGAUGCCGCGUGCCGCUGCGCCUCCCUCUGGACCUCUUCAUCAAUUGCGCUCCUUCACGAUCUUGUGCUCGACUGCCUCCUCUUCGAUGAUUGCAGAACGGUAACGUAUCUGCAACCCCGGUGUCUCGAUCCGCCGUCUCGUGACCUUGCUGUUGUGGUGGUGGCAUGGUGCUGUGAUACUGGUGAUGGUUUGUGGUGGUGGGACUGGCAUGAUGGAGCUGCUGCUGUUGCGACGGCUCCAUUUCCUUCGCCGCCGGUGGGACGGUUCCGCGACGCAACCCCGGCGUCAACUACUGCUCCUACUCUCGACUGAACUCACUGUUGCUAUAUAUUGAUGAUGCCCCUGUUUGGAUGAUUCCUUCAUCCAGGCAUACAUUUUACUAUAAGAUGUACCUUUGAUAAUAACGGGUACUUGUGCUUGAUUUGUUGCCUAGCCAGUGAUGCAUAAGUUGAGGCACAGAUUUAAAUAAGAACAGAUACUAUGGUGUCUAAAAUUCUCUAUGAUGAAUCUUGCAUAGCACUUAUGUGCAGAUCUGAGAGAAUCACUUCUCAUGACUUAAACUGAUGAUUUAUAGUUCGAUCUUUGUCUAGUUCAUUGCUUGCAAAUACUACCCAUGUGCUAUCUACUAGGAUUUAAUACUUCCUGUGGUGCCUCCUAAGAGUGUGCACAGGGAUGUUUAUUACUUAGUAAGAUUUGUGUUGUUGGUAGUUAUGCAGGGUGAUUUAUUAGACUUGGAUCAUAACUAUGAUCAAAUGAUGUUAAAAUCAUCACAAACAACUCAUGUUUGAUAAACUAUUUGAUCUGGAUGAUAUGAUGCCUUUUUGGGAAUAAAGCCAAGUACUAGGCUCAAUGAGUUUGGUAUACCUAUUUCCCUCUGCUAGGCAUAACUUUGCUGGCUGAUGGUGAUCUUGAUAUGCUUCUGGAUUGUUGAAUCUUCACCCCCUCGACUUGAGCCUGCUCCUCCUGAUCUUGAUACUUGCUUUGGCUUGGUUUGGGUGAUUAUCUACUUCUUUCAUUUCUGGUUUGUUUCUUGAGGAUUGUUUGAUGGCCUGGAUGAAGAACUUAUGCUGCUCUUGGUUGUUCUUGGCUGGUCGAUGGGUAUGAGAAAUAUGGGUGCUUGGGCAGCUGUGUGCUACAAGAAGAACAAUAUAUAUACCCUGCCCAUCUACUCUCGGUGGUUGACAACACACAUAUGCAACCUUGUGCGUGUGCUGCUUGCUUGCCUGUUGCAUGUCCUGGGUAGAUGCAUCUCCCCUUGGGGAUAGGCACGGCUGAGAAAAUAUCUCCCUCUUCCAUUUCUCUUUAUUUUUAACAUAGCCACUUGGCAUUACCAUUUCUUCUUGUUUUCUUUGUUUGUUUUGCAGGGUCUUACUUAAACAAGAGAUGAUGAUCUUCAAGUUUAGUUUAGGAUUUGAUUUUCUUUUCUUAUACUUGUAACUGUAACUAUAUUUUUAUUCUUUAUUAUUUUUGUAAAGACUUUGUAUUGUUGUGUUAAUAUUAAUAAAGAAAUGUUUUCCUUGU